RNAcentral lists this ribosomal RNA (240 nucleotides) under uncultured Staphylococcus sp. RNAcentral's name for it is "partial 16S ribosomal RNA". It matches the Rfam family "Bacterial small subunit ribosomal RNA", at positions 100 to 334 of the family's 1533-position model. The record is from RNAcentral. Lineage: Bacteria; Bacillati; Bacillota; Bacilli; Caryophanales; Staphylococcaceae.
GGACGGGUGAGUAACACGUGGAUAACCUACCUAUAAGACUGGGAUAACUUCGGGAAACCAGAGCUAAUACCGGAUAAUAUAUUGAACCGCAUGGUUCAAUAGUGAAAGACGGUUUUGCUGUCACUUAUAGAUGGAUCCGCGCCGCAUUAGCUAGUUGGUAAGGUAACGGCUUACCAAGGCAACGAUGCGUAGCCGACCUGAGAGGGUGAUCGGCCACACUGGAACUGAGACACGGUCCAG